ACUUGUGCUCUUCAGAUCUGUUAGAGUCCUAGCAUCCUCCCAAAUGACCAGUUAAGGUUUAUUUUAGUAUGAGCUCAUAGCUGUAAACAUAUUUGUGGUUCAAUCCAUUGUAGUUGGGCUCCCUCCCCCCUACAGUUUUCUGGAAUUAUAAUUUACAUGCCAUGAAAUUCACCUGUUAAACGUGUACAGCUCAGUGGUUUUUAGUAUGCUCACAGAGUUGUGCAGCCAUCACCAUAAUCUAAGAAGUUUGAAACAUUUCUGUUACCCCAAAAGAAACCCUUUACCCAUUAGCUAUCACUCCUCAUUACCCCCAUAGUACACCACCUCCAACCCUAGGCAAUGACUAAUCUACUUUGUGUCUCUGGAUUUGCCUAGUCU
Molecule: long non-coding RNA, 378 nt
Organism: Herpailurus yagouaroundi (jaguarundi)
Lineage: Eukaryota; Metazoa; Chordata; Mammalia; Carnivora; Felidae
Exons: 3
Source: RefSeq, a predicted model, not a curated record